UAAGAUAUCAGUAUUUUUUAAUAAAAUUGACGACCGAAUAUCUGGAAUAUGACAACGCUAAAAAUAAUCAUCAUUUUAGCUAUUGGCGUCUCACUCGCUUUUGCCCAAGCUGCUCAACGAUGCCUAAUUCCAUCGCUCAUUAAUGGAGGGACUGGAACAAACUACGCUCAACCAUCAGACUUUCUCUGGGUAACUUCAUGUCCGCACUACACAAUGACUCAGCCGAGCGUGCAUGAAUGCAGAAUCAGUGACGGGGUUGCUUACUGGAACCCGCUCAUCUGCCCAUAAACUGCGGUUACCAUGUUGACGACCCAGAGUGAAAACUACGAGCAUUUCUAUGUCCAGCAAUAAAAUUGAGUGUUUUUAUCAAAUAUUGAUGAUAUAUAUUGUUAUUUAUGACCACGUCAUUCAUCUUACUAUUACACAUAAGAAAUAUAUUUCAAAAUUUUAAUAUAUUUAUCAUCGGAAAAUUCUGAAUCAGUGUUCAUCAACCUUUUUUGAAAUGGUACACCCUUUGGUACUCUCGUAGUAUGUGAACCAAGAUGGCGGAUAUCAGUCGUAGUAUGUGUACCAGGUUAGGGUUAUGUAAUAAUCUAUUUAUAAUUUCCCUUAAUAUAGUUCUAUUACGAGUUACGGGUAUAGCCAAGUGACUCCACUAGUAUUCGCACCUUAAAUUAUGAUCUAACCCUAACCUGAUACACAUACUAUGUUGCAGUGUCUACCAUCUUGGUUCACAUACUACGGGAGUACCGACCUUUUAAAAUUUUACUCAAAAUCUGAUACACCUCGUCCAUCCUAUGAUUCACACUAACAAAAGAUUCACGGCGUUCCAUAAGUGUGUGUACCAAUAUGGAGAUAAAUAAUUUCGUUACCUAUUUUACAUCAAGUUGUGUAAAGGGACUAAAACCUACGGGCAGGGGGUAUAUUCACUCGGUUAAAACAGACAGUUCCCGAUCUCGUAAUAGAACUAAUAUACGGAAAAUUGGUCUAAAAUUAUGACCUAAUCCCAAUCUGGUACACAUACUACGGAAGUACCUACCACAGCUACCAGCACCCUACACUACCCUCGUCUUAACCUGAUAACUUAUUAUAUGCGGGCUGACUGCCCCAUGAUAAAAAUAUCUUGAACAAAUGCUAUUACACUAACUACAACAUAACUAAUAUUUAUAAUGUUGCAAUAUUGGGUUCCAUUGACUGUGAUCUUGCCUACAAGUUCAAAAACUCGAUAGACGAAUGGGUCCGGUUGAACUUUUCCCCAUAAAAAGAUUACCCGGCUAUCUCAUAACUUUGGAAUGUUGCAAUAUUUGGUUUUAUUCGACUGUGAUUUUACCUACUUGUUUGGGCGCCUUCAAUUUAAGAACUCAAUAGACAAAAGGGAAGUGUACUUUUUUUCUGUUUUACUGGAAAGAGAGGAGACUUGGAGUUCGAUUAAUAUGCUUUACCAAUUAAAAUAUUCUACUAUUUAUGGUGAAUUAUGAAAUGAUUCUCCUUUGUGAUUUUAAUGCAAUAAAUUGUGUAAAAAAUCA
Non-coding RNA from Styela clava, 1526 nucleotides. The record is from RefSeq and is a predicted model, not a curated record. NCBI's taxonomy places the organism in Eukaryota, Metazoa, Chordata, Ascidiacea, Stolidobranchia, Styelidae.